CCUACGGGUGGCAGCAGUGAGGAAUAUUGGUCAAUGGACGAGAGUCUGAACCAGCCAAGUAGCGUGAAGGAUGACUGCCCUAUGGGUUGUAAACUUCUUUUAUAUGGGAAUAAAACGUUCCACGUGUGGGAUUUUGUAUGUACCAUAUGAAUAAGGAUCGGCUAACUCCGUGCCAGCAGCCGCGGUAAUACGGAGGAUCCGAGCGUUAUCCGGAUUUAUUGGGUUUAAAGGGAGCGUAGGUGGAUUGUUAAGUCAGUUGUGAAAGUUUGCGGCUCAACCGUAAAAUUGCAGUUGAAACUGGCAGUCUUGAGUACAGUAGAGGUGGGCGGAAGUCGUGGUGUAGCGGUGAAAUGCUUAGAUAUCACGAAGAACUCCGAUGGCGAAGGCAGUUCACUGGACUGCAACUGACACUGAGGCUCGAAAGUGUGGGUAUCAAACAGGAUUAGAUACCCCUGUAGUC
This 460-nucleotide ribosomal RNA is filed under the name uncultured bacterium. RNAcentral describes it as "partial 16S ribosomal RNA". It matches the Rfam family "Bacterial small subunit ribosomal RNA", at positions 338 to 795 of the family's 1533-position model. The record is from RNAcentral.